AUACGUAGGGGGCAAGCGUUAUCCGGAAUUACUGGGCGUAAAGGGUGCGUAGGUGGCCUGACAAGUCAGGGGUCAAAGGCAACGGCUCAACCGUUGUAAGCCCUUGAAACUGUCGGGCUUGAGUUCAGGAGAGGAAAGCGGAAUUCCUAGUGUAGCGGUGAAAUGCGUAGAUAUUAGGAGGAACACCAGUGGCGAAGGCGGCUUUCUGGACUGAUACUGACACUGAGGCACGAAAGCGUGGGGAGCAAACAGGAUUAGAUACCCUGGUAGUCCACGCCGUAAACGAUGAGUACUAGGUGUCGGCCCUAAGGGGCGGUGCCGCAGUUAACACAUUAAGUACUCCGCCUGGGAAGUACGCUCGCAAGAGUGAAACUCAAAUGAAUUGACGGGG
This 391-nucleotide ribosomal RNA is filed under the name uncultured bacterium. RNAcentral describes it as "partial 16S ribosomal RNA". It matches the Rfam family "Bacterial small subunit ribosomal RNA", at positions 523 to 918 of the family's 1533-position model. The record is from RNAcentral.